CCUACGGGGGGCAGCAGUGGGGAAUAUUGCGCAAUGGGCGAAAGCCUGACGCAGCGACGCCGCGUGAGGGAUGAAGGUCUUCGGAUCGUAAACCUCUGUCAGGAGGGAAGAAGUGGUUAUAUGCGAAUAGUGUAUGACUUUGACGGUACCUCCAAAGGAAGCACCGGCUAACUCCGUGCCAGCAGCCGCGGUAAUACGGAGGGUGCGAGCGUUAAUCGGAAUCACUGGGCGUAAAGCGCGCGUAGGCGGCUUUUCAAGUCAGGGGUGAAAUCCCACGGCCCAACCGUGGAACUGCCUUUGAAACU
Molecule: ribosomal RNA, 305 nt
Filed under: uncultured bacterium
Lineage: Bacteria
Description: bacterial SSU rRNA
Rfam family: Bacterial small subunit ribosomal RNA
Source: RNAcentral